This 500-nucleotide ribosomal RNA is filed under the name uncultured bacterium. Its description in RNAcentral is "partial 16S ribosomal RNA". It matches the Rfam family "Bacterial small subunit ribosomal RNA", at positions 30 to 523 of the family's 1533-position model. The record is from RNAcentral.
AUUGAACGCUGGCGGAAUGCUUUACACAUGCAAGUCGAACGGCAGCACGGACUUCGGUCUGGUGGCGAGUGGCGAACGGGUGAGUAAUGUAUCGGAACGUGCCCAGUCGUGGGGGAUAACGUAGUGAAAAUUACGCUAAUACCGCAUACGAUCUAUGGAUGAAAGCGGGGGAUCGCAAGACCUUGCGCGAUUGGAGCGGGCGAUAUCAGAUUAGGUAGUCGGUGGGGUAAAGGCCCACAAAGCCAACGAUCUGUAGCUGAUCUGAGAGGACGACCAGCCACACUGGAACUGAGACACGGUCCAGACUCCUACGGGAGGCAGCAGUGGGGAAUUUUGGACAAUGGGCGAAAGCCUGAUCCAGCCAUUCCGCGUGCAGGAUGAAGGCCCUCGGGUUGUAAACUGCUUUUGUACAGAACGAAAAGGUUUCUACUAAUACUAGGAGCUCAUGACGGUACUGUAAGAAUAAGCACCGGCUAACUACGUGCCAGCAGCCGCAGUAA